CGACGUAGGUAACCUGCCUGGUAGCGGGGGAUAACUAUUGAAACGAUAGCUAAUACCGCAUAAGAGUAGAUGUUGCAUGACAUUUACUUAAAAGGUGCAAUUGCAUCACUACCAGAUGGACCUGCGUUGUAUUAGCUAGUUGGUGGGGUAACGGCUCACCAAGGCGACGAUACAUAGCCGACCUGAGAGGGUGAUCGGCCACACUGGGACUGAGACACGGCCCAG
This 225-nucleotide ribosomal RNA is filed under the name uncultured bacterium. RNAcentral describes it as "partial 16S ribosomal RNA". It matches the Rfam family "Bacterial small subunit ribosomal RNA", at positions 113 to 334 of the family's 1533-position model. The record is from RNAcentral.